RNAcentral lists this ribosomal RNA (1335 nucleotides) under Triticum aestivum (bread wheat). Its description in RNAcentral is "partial small subunit ribosomal RNA". Lineage: Eukaryota; Viridiplantae; Streptophyta; Magnoliopsida; Poales; Poaceae. The record is from RNAcentral.
GCAGCGGAAGCGAGUGGCCAUGCCGCAGACCGCAUAGUUCGCCUGCCCGGGCAGCCGGCCGUGGACUUCGACAUGUACUCCGGGUACAUCACGGUGAACGAGAGCGCCGGACGGUCGCUGUUUUAUCUGCUGCAAGAGGCGCCCGAGGAGGCCCAGCCAGCGCCGCUCGUGCUGUGGCUCAACGGCGGGCCCGGCUGCUCCUCCGUCGCGUUCGGCGCGUCGGAGGAGCUCGGCGCAUUCCUCGUCAAGCCGCGCGGCGCCGGCCUCGUCUUGAACGAGUAUCGCUGGAACAAAGUGGCUAACGUCCUGUUCUUGGACUCGCCGGCCGGCGUCGGGUUCUCCUACACCAACACCUCCUCCGACAUCUACACCUCCGGCGACAACAGAACGGCUCAUGACUCGUACACCUUUCUGGCGAAAUUGUUCGAGAGGUUCCCGCACUACAAGUACCUUGACUUCUACAUCGCCGGCGAGAGCUACGCAGGGCACUACGUCCCGGAGCUGUCCCAGCUGGUUCACUGGAGAAACAAAGGCAUCGAGAACCCCGUCAUCAACUUCAAAGGCUUCAUGGUCGGGAACGGCCUGAUCGACGAUUACCACGACUACCUGGGCACGUUCGAGUCCUGGUGGAACCACGGGAUCAUCUCCGACAACACCUACCGCCGCCUCAAGGCCUCCUGCCUGAACGACUCCUUCAUCCGCCCUUCGCCGGCGUGCGAUGCCGCGGUGGACGUCGCCACGGCGGAGCAGGACAACAUCGACAUGUACAGCCUCUACACGCCCGUCUGCAACAUCACGUCGUCGUCGUCGAGCCGGCGGCGGCCCCGGGGGCGCUACGUGAGCAUCCUGGACCCAGAUUCCCCGUGGAUGACCGGAUCGUACGACCCGUGCACGGCGGGAUGCUCCACGGCGUACUACAACCGGCGGGACGUGCAGAGGGCUCUCCACGCCAACGUCACCGGCGCCAUGGACUACACGUGGGCGACCUGCAGUCACACCAUUAAUACCCACUGGCAUGAUACUCCGAGAUCCAUGCUUCCUAUUUACAAGGAGCUUAUUGCAGCUGGCCUAAGGAUAUGGGUCUUCAGUGGCGACACGGACGCGGUAGUCCCCUUGGCAGCAACAAGACACUCCAUCGGCGCUUUGGGUCUUCCAACUACUACCAGUUGGUAUCCUUGGUAUGACGACCAGGAGGUCGGCGGUUGGAGCCAGGUAUACAAGGGCCUUACACUGGUGUCCAUCAGAGGUGCAGGCCAUGAGGUUCCUCUGCACCGCCUGCGGCAAGCGCUCGUACUGUUUCAGCAAUUCCUGCAGGGCAAGCCCAUGCCAGGCUAG